GAUCAGUGGCUCGAGGACGAACGCUGGCGGUGUGCUUCACACAUGCAAGUCGAACGAGGUAGCAAUACCUAGUGGCGGACGGGUGAGUAACGCGUGGGAAUCUGCCUUUAGAUGGGGGAUAACGGGUCGAAAGACUCGCUAAUACCGCAUAUGACGAAAGUUGAAAGGAGUAAUCCGUCUAAAGAUGAGCCCGCGUCCGAUUAGCUAGUUGGUAGAGUAAAAGCCUACCAAGGCGACGAUCGGUAGCUGGUCUGAGAGGAUGAUCAGCCACAAUGGGACUGAGACACGGCCCAUACUCCUACGGGAGGCAGCAGUGGGAAUUUUACGCAAUGGGCGAAAGCCUGACGUAGCGACACCGCGUGAGCGAAGAAGCCCCUUGGGGUGUAAAGCUCUGUCAGCUGGAACGAAAAAAAUGACGGUACCAGCAGAGGAAGCAUCGGCUAACUACGUG
This 451-nucleotide ribosomal RNA is filed under the name uncultured bacterium. RNAcentral describes it as "bacterial SSU rRNA". It matches the Rfam family "Bacterial small subunit ribosomal RNA", at positions 26 to 507 of the family's 1533-position model. The record is from RNAcentral.